RNAcentral lists this ribosomal RNA (460 nucleotides) under uncultured bacterium. Its description in RNAcentral is "partial 16S ribosomal RNA". It matches the Rfam family "Bacterial small subunit ribosomal RNA", at positions 338 to 795 of the family's 1533-position model. The record is from RNAcentral.
CCUACGGGUGGCAGCAGUGAGGAAUAUUGGGCAAUGGACGAGAGUCUGAACCAGCCAAGUAGCGUGAAGGAUGACUGCCCUCUGGGUUGUAAACUUCUUGUAUAAGGGAGUAAAGUGAGGCACGUGUGCCUUUUUGUAUGUACUUUAUGACUAAGGAUCGGCUAACUCCGUGCCAGCAGCCGCGGUAAUACGGAGGAUCCGAGCGUUAUCCGGAUUUAUUGGGUUUAAAGGGAGCGUAGAUGGGUUGUUAAGUCAGUUGUGAAAGUUUGCGGCUCAACCGUAAAAUUGCAAUUGAUACUGGCAGUCUUGAGUACAGUUGAGGUAGGCGGAAUUCGUGGUGUAGCGGUGAAAUGCGUAGAUAUCACGAAGAACUCCGAUUGCGAAGGCAGCUUACUAAACUGCCACUGACAUUGAUGCUCGAAAGUGUGGGUAUCAAACAGGAUUAGAUACCCCAGUAGUC